Molecule: ribosomal RNA, 381 nt
Filed under: uncultured eukaryote
Lineage: Eukaryota
Description: SSU rRNA
Rfam family: Eukaryotic small subunit ribosomal RNA
Source: RNAcentral
AGCUCCAAUAGCGUAUAUUAAAGUUGUUGCGGUUAAAAAGCUCGUAGUUGGAUUUCUGCUGAGGACGAUCGGUCCGCCCUCUGGGUGUGUAUCUGGCUCGGCCUUGGCAUCUUCUUGGAAAACGCAACUGCACUUGACUGUGUGGUGCGGUAUCCAGGACCUUUACUUUGAGGAAAUUAGAGUGUUUCAAGCAGGCGCACGCCUUGAAUACAUUAGCAUGGGAUAAUAAGAUAGGACCUUUGUUCUAUUUUGUUGGUUUCUAGAGCUGAGGUAAUGAUUAAUAGGGAUAGUUGGGGGCAUUCGUAUUUAACAGUCAGAGGUGAAAUUCUUGGAUUUGUUAAAGACGGACUACUGCGAAAGCAUUUGCCAAGGAUGUUUUCA